RNAcentral lists this ribosomal RNA (467 nucleotides) under uncultured bacterium. RNAcentral describes it as "bacterial SSU rRNA". It matches the Rfam family "Bacterial small subunit ribosomal RNA", at positions 329 to 793 of the family's 1533-position model. The record is from RNAcentral.
UCGUAGACUCCUACGGGAGGCAGCAGUGAGGAAUAUUGGACAAUGGGCGCAAGCCUGAUCCAGCCAUGCCGCGUGCAGGAAGACUGCCCUAUGGGUUGUAAACUGCUUUUAUACGGGAAGAAACACUCCCUCGUGAGGGAGCUUGACGGUACCGUAAGAAUAAGGAUCGGCUAACUCCGUGCCAGCAGCCGCGGUAAUACGGAGGAUCCAAGCGUUAUCCGGAAUCAUUGGGUUUAAAGGGUCCGUAGGUGGAUAAUUAAGUCAGAGGUGAAAUCCUGCAGCUCAACUGUAGAAUUGCCUUUGAUACUGGUUAUCUUGAGUCAUUAUGAAGUGGUUAGAAUAUGUAGUGUAGCGGUGAAAUGCAUAGAUAUUACAUAGAAUACCAAUUGCGAAGGCAGAUCACUAAUAAUGUACUGACACUGAUGGACGAAAGCGUGGGGAGCGAACAGGAUUAGAUACCCUGGUAG